UACGUAGGGAGCAAGCGUUGUCCGGAAUCAUUGGGCGUAAAGCGCGCGUAGGCGGCCCCGUAAGUCCGCUGUGAAAGUCAAAGGCUCAACCUUUGAAAGCCGGUGGAUACUGUGAGACUAGAGUACGGAAGAGGCGAGUGGAACUCCUGGUGUAGCGGUGGAAUGCGCAGAUAUCAGGAAGAACACCAAUGGCGAAGGCAGCUCUCUGGGACGGUACUGACGCUGAGACGCGAAAAGCGUGGGGAGCGAACAGG
This 254-nucleotide ribosomal RNA is filed under the name uncultured bacterium. RNAcentral describes it as "partial 16S ribosomal RNA". It matches the Rfam family "Bacterial small subunit ribosomal RNA", at positions 524 to 776 of the family's 1533-position model. The record is from RNAcentral.